Molecule: long non-coding RNA, 733 nt
Organism: Anas platyrhynchos (mallard)
Lineage: Eukaryota; Metazoa; Chordata; Aves; Anseriformes; Anatidae
Source: RefSeq, a predicted model, not a curated record
GAAGAACCACACAUGACCAAGUGACAACAUUUGUUUACACCACAGGAACUCUGCAGACUUCAUUGGAUCUACUCAGUUUGCACUUGUAGCAAGAAGAGAGGUCACAAAUUUCUAAUUCUACAGAAACCUGCAGCAAAAGUUACUGCUUACAGCGGAACAUAGUCAUAUUAGGAAGACAAACUGUCAAGAGAGGUGACCCUCUACAAUGCAUCCAUUCAUCAGGAUCAACCAAGGAAAGCCUUUCAGCUUACUUCAGCGGAGCAGAGAACCAGGACCUCCACCAUUAUCCCAGCCAAAAAAUGAGAACAUUGUAAGGCUAAAGGUCAGCCCUUUGAGGAGUGGGUAAGGAAAGGUUAGAAACAGGCUAAAAGAGCUACAUGUGCCAGAAGACAACAUUCUUUGGGAGAGAUGGUGCACAGGACAGCAUGGGAACCAGGCUUUGCUUUUUGUGGUGGUUCAGGACACUUCCAGGCCUCCUCUGCUAGCAUUCCAAGGGGUAGCCAGGUUACCCUGCACCAUGAGUGACUACUUUAGGACAGUGCUACAUCUUGGAAAACAAGGCAUAUUAACUUGGGCUCACCUCUGCAGCCAUGCAACCACCCAACUUUGAACUGGCUCGAAGAACUAGAAGAAGAAACUCAGUUCUUCCCACAGCAUAUCAUGGAAAGAUUUUCUCAGAGUUUUGUUUUCUUUAAGAACUUGCAAGUUACGCAAUAAAAAGUAAUGCUUAGCA